RNAcentral lists this ribosomal RNA (1443 nucleotides) under metagenome. RNAcentral's name for it is "bacterial SSU rRNA". It matches the Rfam family "Bacterial small subunit ribosomal RNA". The record is from RNAcentral.
AGAGUUUGAUCCUGGCUCAGGAUGAACGCUGGCGGCGUGCUUAACACAUGCAAGUCGAACGAUCCUUCGGGAUAGUGGCGGACGGGUGAGUAACGCGUGGGAAUCUGCCCUCAGGAGGGGGAUAACGGCUGGAAACGGCCGCUAAUACCCCAUAUGCCGAGAGGUGAAACGAAUUUCGCCUGAGGAUGAGCCCGCGUCUGAUUAGCUAGUUGGUGGGGUAAAGGCCUACCAAGGCGACGAUCAGUAGCUGGUCUGAGAGGAUGAUCAGCCACACUGGGACUGAGACACGGCCCAGACUCCUACGGGAGGCAGCAGUGGGGAAUUUUCCGCAAUGGGCGAAAGCCUGACGGAGCAACGCCGCGUGAGGGAUGAAGGCCUCUGGGCUGUAAACCUCUUUUCUCAAGGAAGAAGAACUGACGGUACUUGAGGAAUAAGCCACGGCUAAUUCCGUGCCAGCAGCCGCGGUAAUACGGGAGUGGCAAGCGUUAUCCGGAAUUAUUGGGCGUAAAGCGUCCGCAGGCGGCCUUGUAAGUCUGUUGUUAAAGCGUGGAGCUCAACUCCAUUUAAGCAAUGGAAACUACAAGGCUGGAGUGUGGUAGGGGCAGAGGGAAUUCCCGGUGUAGCGGUGAAAUGCGUAGAUAUCGGGAAGAACACCAGUGGCGAAGGCGCUCUGCUGGGCCAUAACUGACGCUCAUGGACGAAAGCCAGGGGAGCGAAAGGGAUUAGAUACCCCUGUAGUCCUGGCCGUAAACGAUGAACACUAGGUGUCGGGGGAAUCGACCCCCUCGGUGUCGUAGCCAACGCGUUAAGUGUUCCGCCUGGGGAGUACGCACGCAAGUGUGAAACUCAAAGGAAUUGACGGGGGCCCGCACAAGCGGUGGAGUAUGUGGUUUAAUUCGAUGCAACGCGAAGAACCUUACCAGGGUUUGACAUCCUGCGAAUCCCUUGGAAACGAGGGAGUGCCUUCGGGAGCGCAGUGACAGGUGGUGCAUGGCUGUCGUCAGCUCGUGUCGUGAGAUGUUGGGUUAAGUCCCGCAACGAGCGCAACCCACGUCUUUAGUUGCCAGCAUUCAGUUGGGCACUCUAGAGAGACCGCCGGUGAUAAACCGGAGGAAGGUGUGGAUGACGUCAAGUCAUCAUGCCCCUUACAUCCUGGGCUACACACGUACUACAAUGCUACGGACAAAGGGCAGCAAGCUCGCGAGAGUUAGCAAAUCCCAUAAACCGUGGCUCAGUUCAGAUCGUAGGCUGCAACUCGCCUACGUGAAGGAGGAAUCGCUAGUAAUCGCAGGUCAGCAUACUGCGGUGAAUACGUUCCCGGGCCUUGUACACACCGCCCGUCACACCAUGGAAGUUGGCCAUGCCCGAAGUCGUUACUCCAACCCUUGUGGAGGAGGACGCCGAAGGUGGGGCUGAUGACUGGGGUGAAGUCGAAACAAGGUA